This 130-nucleotide ribosomal RNA is filed under the name Escherichia coli. RNAcentral's name for it is "partial 23S ribosomal RNA". It matches the Rfam family "Bacterial large subunit ribosomal RNA", at positions 2813 to 2925 of the family's 2925-position model. Lineage: Bacteria; Pseudomonadati; Pseudomonadota; Gammaproteobacteria; Enterobacterales; Enterobacteriaceae. The record is from RNAcentral.
CCCUGACUCCUUGAGAGUCCUGAAGGAACGUUGAAGACGACGACGUUGAUAGGCCGGGUGUGUAAGCGCAGCGAUGCGUUGAGCUAACCGGUACUAAUGAACCGUGAGGCUUAACCUUACAACGCCGAAG